Non-coding RNA from Caerostris darwini, 112 nucleotides. Lineage: Eukaryota; Metazoa; Arthropoda; Arachnida; Araneae; Araneidae. The record is from the annotation of a GenBank genome assembly.
AACGGCCAUACCAUGCUGAAUAUACCGGUUCUCGUUAGAUCACCGAAGUCAAGCAUCAUUGGGCGCGGUCAGUACUUGGGAGGGUGACCACCUGGGAACACCGCGUGCCGUU